CCUACGGGAGGCAGCAGUGAGGAAUAUUGGUCAAUGGCCGAGAGUCUGAACCAGCCAAGUCGCGUGAAGGAAGACUGCCCUACGGGUUGUAAACCUCUUUUAUCUGGGAGUAAAGCGAGUCACGUGUGGGUCAUUGAGAGUACCCUAAGAAAAAGCAUCGGCUAACUCCGUGCCAGCAGCCGCGGUAAUACGGGGGAUCCGAGCUUUAUCCGGAUUUAUUGGGUUUAAAGGGAGCGCGGGCGGGGGUUAAAGUCAGCGGUCAAAUUUCGGGGCUCAACCUCGAACUGCAGUUGAAACUGGAUGCCUUGAGUACGCGAGAGGUGUGCGGAAGGCGUGGGGUAGCGGUGAGAUGCAUAGAUAUCACGAAGAACUCCGAUUGCGAAGGCAGCCUGCCAAGCUAUGACUGACGCUGAUGCACGAAAGCGUGGGGAUCAAACAGGAUUAGAUACCCGAGUAGUC
RNAcentral lists this ribosomal RNA (459 nucleotides) under uncultured bacterium. RNAcentral's name for it is "partial 16S ribosomal RNA". It matches the Rfam family "Bacterial small subunit ribosomal RNA", at positions 338 to 795 of the family's 1533-position model. The record is from RNAcentral.